GGGCUUAUUUAUAGCAAUUUCACUUCUCCACAUAGAUGAGAAAGCGAAAUGGAAUUCAAGGCAUGGAGUCCAGAAGCAUAUUUCAAGAAAAGGACAUGGUCAGCAGGGUUUCAGUCUGAAGGUCUGCAACAAUAUGUAGAUUUUUUUAAAACACACAAAUAAAAGAGAAGCAGAGAUGAAUGAGAAAGAUGUAUCUGCCAACAAAAGAAAGCAAACAUCACCCACGGACCGGCACCCACAGGGAACCUUGUUUACUCUUGGGUGAGCAGUCUUUGAGCAUUUUACAAAACGACUCCUAUUUCAGGAGUAAUUUUACCCUUUUUUUCAGCAUAUGAUGACAAUCUUCCUCAUUCAAGGUAUUUUAUGACAGCACCAGUAUCAUAUGCAAAAGAUACAAACAGGCAGUUAAUUCCCCUUUAUACUUGCAAAAGAGAAGAAACAAAGGUGAAGACCCUGCGUGAGGAGACUACACAGCUUCAGAGAGAGAGAGAGAGAGAGAGAGAGAGAGCCGUUAGCACCCACUGAUAGAUUUCCCGGAUCUGACGCAACCCCAGCCAAGACCUCCCUGCCUGAGGGUACCAGGUUGCCUCUCCUUUCCUACAGCCGCCUUGCGAGAACAAAGACCACCAGAUGUCAAUCAACUGUGGAUUUUUCUCCUGACCUUGAGGAACCCACGAAUGCCUUCAGAUGGAAGUCACACUCGACUCUGCAGCAAAGGGGUCGCCCUGUGAAGCGGAGCCGUGAGUGUGCUGACUGUGGGACCCAGCUCUCAUCUCACACUUGACAUGAGACCGUCCAUCCAGUAGGGAAGCCAUGCAAAGAUGUGGGUUUUCUUUAGGCAUCCUUCACCAUUGAGGACUGCCCACCGUAACAGUCACGUGUUCGAGAAGUUCUUUGAAUGUGAUGACUUGUAGCAAUACUUUCACCACAGCUUCAGAGUUCAGGCAACUUCAGAAAUGCACACAGGACCAACACUACCCAGAUGUGAUGCAUCUGACGAGGCCUUUCAAUUUUACUCCUUAUUAAACAUCAGAGAGUUCACACUGGAGAG
RNAcentral lists this long non-coding RNA (1051 nucleotides) under Oryctolagus cuniculus (rabbit). RNAcentral's name for it is "lncRNA (ENSOCUG00000033071.1)". The record is from RNAcentral. Lineage: Eukaryota; Metazoa; Chordata; Mammalia; Lagomorpha; Leporidae.